UAGGGAAUAUUGGACAAUGGGCGCAAGCCUGAUCCAGCCAUGCCGCGUGAGUGAAGAAGGCCCUCGGGUUGUAAGGCUCUUUUGUCCGGAAAGAAAAGCAUCGGGUUAAUACCCCGGUGUUCUGACGGUACCGGAAGAAUAAGCACCGGCUAACUUCGUGCCAGCAGCCGCGGUAAUACGAAGGGUGCAAGCGUUACUCGGAAUUACUGGGCGUAAAGCGUGCGUAGGUGGUUCGUUAAGUCUGAUGUGAAAGCCCUGGGCUCAACCUGGGAAUGGCAUUGGAAACUGGCGGACUGGAGUGCGGUAGAGGGUAGCGGAAUUCCCGGUGUAGCAGUGAAAUGCGUAGAGAUCGGGAGGAACAUCCGUGGCGAAGGCGGCUACCUGGACCAGCACUGACACUGAGGCACGAAAGCGUGGGGAGCAAAC
RNAcentral lists this ribosomal RNA (426 nucleotides) under uncultured bacterium. RNAcentral describes it as "bacterial SSU rRNA". It matches the Rfam family "Bacterial small subunit ribosomal RNA", at positions 355 to 773 of the family's 1533-position model. The record is from RNAcentral.